Molecule: transfer RNA, 72 nt
Filed under: Camelus dromedarius (Arabian camel)
Lineage: Eukaryota; Metazoa; Chordata; Mammalia; Artiodactyla; Camelidae
Also listed under: 1 other name
Rfam family: tRNA
About the family: Transfer RNA (tRNA) molecules are approximately 80 nucleotides in length. Their secondary structure includes four short double-helical elements and three loops (D, anti-codon, and T loops).
Source: Rfam by way of RNAcentral
GUGGGUAUAGCUCAGGGGUAGAUUAUGUGCUUAGCAUGCAUGACAUUCUGGGUUCAAUCCCCAGUACCUCCA